RNAcentral lists this long non-coding RNA (609 nucleotides) under Pongo abelii (Sumatran orangutan). Its description in RNAcentral is "lincRNA". Lineage: Eukaryota; Metazoa; Chordata; Mammalia; Primates; Hominidae. The record is from RNAcentral.
CGAACAGUCGCUCAGAUUGUUGCCCUGCGCUCGUGUGAAUGUACGGAUCCGGGAGGAAUUGGGACCUAAACAGAAAAGCCCUCGAGGCCGUCCCGGCAGCCCUGAGGAGGGAGCCUUCACCUCUUCCUAGCCACCCAUUUUACUUCUUGUGGAGGAUAUUUGCAGGAACAUAGCCCACUGAGAGAACUAGCAGAUACGGCUUUACAAGUUUUUAUUGCCUUUCAGCCCCCAUUCCACUCCUAUUCCUUGCACUGCGUCGGGAAAGGGAAUAGGAUCCCUAGGGGUGCAAAUACAGGCCAAGUCAGGGAGAGCUGUGGCUCCUGAGGGCCUCGUCUGGCUCCUCCGGGAAGUUCUGGGCCCUCAAGGAGUAGUUUCGAGGGCCAGGAGGGCGGUUAGCUGCCCUUGGCAUUUCUUUGGGGAAAUCAGUUCGCCUGUCGCGGGUCGAACUCUGUCCCCCCUGACUGCCUGCCAUCUUCUGGCGGAGAAACCCCUAAUAGGCUGCUGUGUCUGGUUAUGCUUUAGUGAGAAAAUUAGGCUUUUUAAGCUUUCUCAUUUCCUACCCUACCACGUUGUAAUUCACAAAAGUAAAAAGUAAAUCACUACAUGAUA